AGAGUUUGAUCAUGGCUCAGGAUGAACGCUGGCGGCGUGCCUAAUACAUGCAAGUCGAACGAGAUGUAGCAAUACAUCUAGUGGCGAACGGGUGAGUAACACGUGGGCAACCUGCCUAUAGGUGGGGGAUAACCGAGGGAAACCUUGGCUAAUACCGCAUGGUGAGUACUAAGGCAUCUUAGUACAAUAAAAGAUCCAAAUGGAUCGCCUAUAGAUGGGCCUGCGGCGCAUUAACUAGUUGGUAGGGUAACGGCCUACCAAGGUGACGAUGCGUAGCCGACCUGAGAGGGUGACCGGCCACAUUGGGACUGAGACACGGCCCAAACUCCUACGGGAGGCAGCAGUAGGGAAUUUUCGGCAAUGGGGGAAACCCUGACCGAGCGACGCCGCGUGAACGAAGAAGGUCUUCGGAUCGUAAAGUUCUGUUACAAGGGAAGAACGACAGUAAGAGUGGAAAGCUUACUGUGUGACGGUACCUUGUGAGAAAGCCACGGCUAACUACGUGCCAGCAGCCGCGGUAAUACGUAGGUGGCGAGCGUUAUCCGGAAUUAUUGGGCGUAAAGAGUGAGCAGGCGGCAGUCAGAGUCUGGAGUUAAAACGUGUGGCUCAACCAUACGUUGCUUUGGAAACUAGACAGCUAGAGUGCAGGAGAGGUUAGCGGAAUUCCAUGUGUAGCGGUAAAAUGCGUAGAUAUAUGGAGGAACACCAGUGGCGAAGGCGGCUAACUGGCCUGUAACUGACGCUCAGUCACGAAAGCGUGGGGAGCAAAUAGGAUUAGAUACCCUAGUAGUCCACGCCGUAAACGAUGAGUACUAAGUGUUGGGAAACCAGUGCUGAAGUUAACGCAUUAGUACUCCGCCUGAGAAGUACGUUCGCAAGAAUGAAACUCAAGGAAUUGACGG
RNAcentral lists this ribosomal RNA (902 nucleotides) under uncultured bacterium. RNAcentral's name for it is "bacterial SSU rRNA". It matches the Rfam family "Bacterial small subunit ribosomal RNA", at positions 8 to 916 of the family's 1533-position model. The record is from RNAcentral.